Molecule: non-coding RNA, 942 nt
Organism: Lonchura striata (white-rumped munia)
Lineage: Eukaryota; Metazoa; Chordata; Aves; Passeriformes; Estrildidae
Source: RefSeq, a predicted model, not a curated record
CAAACAAACAAACCAUAUAUUUGUUUCUCCUUUGGAAGUCCACAGAUUUAGAAGAAUCUAUAAGAAGACAGAGCUUGUUGACACAUCUCAGCUGCAUUUCAACUAAUUGUGGAAUGCUUUGACUUCAACAAAAUUCACACCAUAUGUCAAAGAAGAAAAAGAAAUCUUACAGUUUCCAUCUCUCUUGUAAUGUCUUUCACUGAAGGUGAACUACUCUGAUUUUGCAGAUGUUACACAUGAGGUCCUGUCACUCCUCUUGACAAUGAAGAGAUCAGCACCCGCCCCUCCUCUUUCCUCCUGUCAGGAUGUUGAAAACCACAAUGAGGUCUCCCCUCUUGCUCCUCUUCUCUCUGCUGAACAAACCAAGUGACCUCAGCCACUCCCUGAAAAGCUUCCCCUUAAGUCCCUUCAUCACCUUUGCUGCACCCAAAACACCUCACACUUGAGUUCCUUAUUCAGGGAGAAGAAGCUGAAUCAGCUGUUGCAGAUUGCCUGCUGCCUCGUCUGCCUCUGCAGACUGGAAAGGACCACUCCUGCUACCAAGGAAAACAGGGAGUAAAAAUCCAAAUACCAUGCCCUUGACUUGGUUAUGGAAAAGAAAGCAGUAUGAAGAUGCAGCACAGAAGUGGAAAACUCAAUAUAAAUAUUCCCUAAUACCCUAAGAGGGAUAAAUAUUACUCUAUGGCAAGAUUUGGCUUUUCUGACUGUAAAGCUCCCCUUCUAAGAGAAAAAGGAGAUAUAAAGCCCAAAAAAAAUACCGGAGACCAUGUUUAAGGCUGAAUUGAAAUAAAUUUCCUACCAAACUCAGCAAAGUAUCUUGUAUUGGUGACAAGUUUAGCAGUUUAAAAAGAUAUACUUGAAAAAGAGGGUCCUCUCUGAAUGCCUUAAUAUUUCCAGCAUAUCCCAUAAUAUGCCUAAUGGUUUACCACAUAAUUGCAUCAU